RNAcentral lists this long non-coding RNA (1034 nucleotides) under Penaeus japonicus. RNAcentral's name for it is "uncharacterized LOC122256012". The record is from RNAcentral. Lineage: Eukaryota; Metazoa; Arthropoda; Malacostraca; Decapoda; Penaeidae.
CCCGUCACUCCCUCGCCGAGCACGAGGCCGAGCGGGUCCUGGUGCGCUCCUCCGUCUGCGCGCGCGAUGACGGCGCCGUGACUUCGCCCACUCUUUCGCUUCGCCCUCACCGGCAUUUCCACCUCGGGACCUGCGUGGCUCCCCUAGGCCGGGCGCCGCUAUAGUGAGGAUUCGUUGCAAAGGCCGAAGGAAUGGCCAUUGGUUUCCCUUGACGGGGGGAAAGUAUAUUCGGAAAUAGGUCGACCUCUUGUAGGGCAUCUGCUGUCUUUCUUGCGUGGAAGUCCCUUGGAGACGGUUUCAGGAAAUGUAUGAAAAUAUAAUACUUUCUUAACCAUGAUUGUGUGAUGCGACGGUGAAGUUUGUGUUAGAAAAUCUUACGAAAACCACUCAGAAUCUCAAGACACAAGUGUUGCUUGUAAAUACCCUUUCUAUAUGCAGACGUCCUUGGAAUAUGAUGAAAUAUGAAGUUAACAAAAUGCUAAAGUCUUGGAAAGAAUUGAUAGUCGAUUCAGUUUUUGUCUGAAAAGCAUUACUGGUUUUAUUGCAUAGUUAAUUACCAUAAAACACCUUUUCGUUGUGUCCUAGGAAAUAUUGAAUGAUCAAGCACCUAACAGGUCCUCAAGUGAGAACUACCCCCACCCUCCUUCACACACUCUGAUUCUGGCGAAGAAUACGCGACGCCCAUUGCCUCACACAAGGGAAAGAUAUCUUCUUGAGGCCCAAUUCUAGAUUUGGGCCGCCCAGUCUGGAGGAUCAGUAACAGCAACGAAGCUCCCGCCCCUCACACCCGUGGCUUGCCCGUGUAGAGGCGCCCACGAGUUGUUAACUUCGCUGGAUUCUUCUGCUGCUGCUCUCAGACGCUCUCCUAGGACUAAGGACGUCACGGAAUCCCAAGCAACAUCACGAGGACAGCUGACGGCGGCCUCGACUUCGCCAGGAAUGGUGCCACGCCUGCCCAAGGACCUCAUCUUGACCUAGUGCUGUCUGCUCCUCAUAGUGGUAGGUGCCAGUGCGCUGAGACUGUUGGUAAGAAA